UGAGAGCACUACCUUCCUUCAGGAGGGGAU
RNAcentral lists this non-coding RNA (30 nucleotides) under Homo sapiens (human). The record is from RNAcentral. Lineage: Eukaryota; Metazoa; Chordata; Mammalia; Primates; Hominidae.